UACGUAGGGAGCGAGCGUUGUCCGGAUUUAUUGGGCGUAAAGAGCUCGUAGGCGGCUUGGUAUGUCGGGUGUGAAAUCCCCGGGCUCAACCUGGGAACUGCAUCCGAAACUGCCUUGCUAGAGUAUGGGAGAGGGAAGUGGAAUUUCCGGUGUAGCGGUGAAAUGCGUAGAUAUCGGAAGGAACAUCAGUGGCGAAGGCGACUUCCUGGACCAAUACUGACGCUCAGGUGCGAAAGCGUGGGGAGCAAACAGG
Molecule: ribosomal RNA, 253 nt
Filed under: uncultured bacterium
Lineage: Bacteria
Description: partial 16S ribosomal RNA
Rfam family: Bacterial small subunit ribosomal RNA
Source: RNAcentral